RNAcentral lists this ribosomal RNA (321 nucleotides) under Foraminifera environmental sample. RNAcentral's name for it is "SSU rRNA". It matches the Rfam family "Eukaryotic small subunit ribosomal RNA", at positions 1160 to 1343 of the family's 1831-position model. Lineage: Eukaryota; Foraminifera. The record is from RNAcentral.
AAGGGCACCACAAGAACGCGUGGAGCAUGUGGCUUAAUUUGACCCAACGCGGGAAAUCUUACCGGGUCCGGACACACUGAGGAUUGACAGGCGAAAAACAGUUAGCUGCUUGCAGCUAACUGUCACCAAACAUGAUAGUCCUUUCAUGAUUGUGUGAUAGGUGGUGCAUGGCCGUUCUUAGUUCGUGGAGUGAUCUGUCUGCUUAAUUGCGUUUCAGAAAGAGCAUUUGGCAAUAAGCUGUAGCUUGUAGCUGCCCUCUUAACGGAGUUGUGCGCUCAAGUUACACAGCCAUUCAUUGCUCUGAAGCAACGAACGUGACCG